Molecule: transfer RNA, 65 nt
Filed under: Scaphisoma boleti
Lineage: Eukaryota; Metazoa; Arthropoda; Insecta; Coleoptera; Staphylinidae
Description: tRNA-Thr
Source: RNAcentral
GUUUUAAUAAUUUAAUAAAAAUAAUGAUUUUGUAAAUCAAAAAUAAGAAAAUAUCUUUUAAAACU